GACGAACCGAGCGAACGUUGUUCGGAAUCACUGGGCUUAAAGGGCGCGUAGGCGGGUGCUCAAGUCCGGGGUGAAAUCCUCCAGCUCAACUGGAGAACUGCCUCGGAUACUGGGUGCCUCGAGUGUGGUAGGGGUGUGCGGAACUGUAGGUGGAGCGGUGAAAUGCGUAGAGAUCGGCAGGAACACCCAGGGGGAAACCAGCCGACUGGGCAUCGACUGACGCUGAGGUGCGAGAGCGUGGGGAGCAAACAGG
RNAcentral lists this ribosomal RNA (253 nucleotides) under uncultured bacterium. RNAcentral describes it as "partial 16S ribosomal RNA". It matches the Rfam family "Bacterial small subunit ribosomal RNA", at positions 524 to 776 of the family's 1533-position model. The record is from RNAcentral.